This 225-nucleotide ribosomal RNA is filed under the name uncultured bacterium. Its description in RNAcentral is "partial 16S ribosomal RNA". It matches the Rfam family "Bacterial small subunit ribosomal RNA", at positions 109 to 334 of the family's 1533-position model. The record is from RNAcentral.
AGUAACGCGUGGGUAACCUGCCUCAUACAGGGGGAUAACGAUUGGAAACGAUUGCUAAUACCGCAUAAGCGCACAGUACCACAUGGUGCAGUGUGAAAAACUCCGGUGGUAUGAGAUGGACCCGCGUCUGAUUAGCUAGUUGGUGAGGUAACGGCCCACCAAGGCGACGAUCAGUAGCCGGACUGAGAGGUUGACCGGCCACAUUGGGACUGAGAUACGGCCCAG